AUUGAACGCUGGCGGCAUGCCUUACACAUGCAAGUCGAACGGUAACAGGUCUUCGGAUGCUGACGAGUGGCGAACGGGUGAGUAAUACAUCGGAACGUGCCCGAUCGUGGGGGAUAACGCAGCGAAAGCUGUGCUAAUACCGCAUACGAUCUACGGAUGAAAGCGGGGGAUCGCAAGACCUCGCGCGGCCGGAGCGGCCGAUGGCAGAUUAGGUAGUUGGUGGGGUAAAGGCUCACCAAGCCUGCGAUCUGUAGCUGGUCUGAGAGGACGACCAGCCACACUGGGACUGAGACACGGCCCAGACUCCUACGGGAGGCAGCAGUGGGGAAUUUUGGACAAUGGGCGAAAGCCUGAUCCAGCCAUGCCGCGUGCAGGAUGAAGGCCUUCGGGUUGUAAACUGCUUAUGUACGGAACGAAAAGUCUCCUUCUAAUAAAGGGGGAUCAUGACGGUACCGUAAGAAUAAGCACCGGCUAACUCUGUGCCAGCCGCCGCGGUAA
Molecule: ribosomal RNA, 498 nt
Filed under: uncultured bacterium
Lineage: Bacteria
Description: partial 16S ribosomal RNA
Rfam family: Bacterial small subunit ribosomal RNA
Source: RNAcentral